UGGAAUAUAGUAUAAAUGGCAAGUGCGUGUAUCAGCUGACAAGGCGUAGGUUCGAUUCCUACUAUUCCAUA
This 71-nucleotide transfer RNA is filed under the name Caudoviricetes sp. RNAcentral's name for it is "tRNA-OTHER". It matches the Rfam family "tRNA". Rfam says of the family: Transfer RNA (tRNA) molecules are approximately 80 nucleotides in length. Their secondary structure includes four short double-helical elements and three loops (D, anti-codon, and T loops). Further hydrogen bonds mediate the characteristic L-shaped molecular structure. tRNAs have two regions of fundamental functional importance: the anti-codon, which is responsible for specific mRNA codon recognition, and the 3' end, to which the tRNAs corresponding amino acid is attached (by aminoacyl-tRNA synthetases). tRNAs cope with the degeneracy of the genetic code in two manners: having more than one tRNA (with a specific anti-codon) for a particular amino acid; and 'wobble' base-pairing, i.e. permitting non-standard base-pairing at the 3rd anti-codon position. Lineage: Duplodnaviria; Heunggongvirae; Uroviricota; Caudoviricetes. The record is from RNAcentral.